GAAUUGGAGCAUCAAGCUAUGAUAUAUAAGUAUUUGGUGGCUGGUAUUCCGGUGCCGGCGGACCUUGUUGUGCCUAUACGACGUAGCUUUGAACCCAUUUCAGCAAGGUUCUUUCAUCAUCCUAGCUUGGGGUACUGUUCCUAUUAUGGGAAGAAGUUUGAUCCUGAGCCAGGAAGGUGUAGAAGGACAGAUGGAAAGAAGUGGAGGUGCGCCAAAGAUGCAUAUCCUGACUCAAAGUAUUGCGAGCGGCACAU
RNAcentral lists this unclassified non-coding RNA (254 nucleotides) under Hevea brasiliensis (rubber tree). Lineage: Eukaryota; Viridiplantae; Streptophyta; Magnoliopsida; Malpighiales; Euphorbiaceae. The record is from RNAcentral.